This 1588-nucleotide long non-coding RNA is filed under the name Anas platyrhynchos platyrhynchos (common mallard). RNAcentral describes it as "lncRNA (ENSAPLG00000026985.1)". Lineage: Eukaryota; Metazoa; Chordata; Aves; Anseriformes; Anatidae. The record is from RNAcentral.
AUGCUCCUCGGCCCUACAGCAUCCCCAGCAGCAGCUCUUUUGGGUCAUUCGCUCCUGGUCAUUUUUCUGCUGCAGCGAGAUGCACCCCCAGGCAACAGGGGGGUGCUCCGAGGCGGCUGCAGGCUGGUUUCAAGCACCCAGGGUCAGCCCCGUCCCGGGUCCCAGAGGGCAGGGGGCGAGGCGAGGGCCUCACCUGCUCUCGGCUGCUGCCUUUCUUACGGUGCUGGUGGAGAGGGAGGGCGCACGGCGGCCCCCGCCGCUCCUGGGGCCUGUGCGGGGGAUCUGUUGGAAAGUGGUUCUGGUUUAAUGGCCCCUUGGCACGGCCCGGAGACUCCGCUCUGUAUGCAAUACUUUCCUUCAUUACUUACAGUAAGUACUUCAGUAGUCUCUGAUAAUAUUGUAUUUGACAGAAAUCAUGGAAAUUAUGAUCAUGGCCAAAUGCUCCCUGCACGGGAACUUGCUAACCAAAGCAGAUCCGUUUUCCAGCUUGUGACCAGCGGCUCCCCCUUCCUCAGCGAAGUUUCUCCCGCUUCCCCUUCGGCGAGGAGCCGGGACGGGCCGCAAGCACCGGCGGGACCCCGGUGCCUGGUGCCCGGUACCCGGUGCCCGGUGCCCGCUGCGGGCUGCUCCCAGCAGGAGAGAAAAACCGCCACCCGCACGGCUUGCCGCGGAGAUCCGGAUUCGACCCCAAAAAAGAGAGAAGAGGCGAAGAAACAAGGCGCUUGGAGCCGCGCAGUCCGGGCACGCAACCCGACGGCAAAACCCGGUGCGGCACCACGGGCACUGCGCGGCCGCGCAGGAGCGGGGGCUCACCGGGGCCGCCCCCCGGGGCCACGGCGGGGAACCGGCGGACGAGGGGCCGCGGAGAGCCAGGAAAGUAGGGCUGGAGUGAGCUGUACUCAGGACUUUUUAUUAUUAUUAUUUAAUGCAGGGUCUCGCCAAUUUCAGAAAUGAUAUCGCUGAAGUGAAUUUAGACGGAAAGUGUUUUUUUUUUUUUUUUAAUUCAAAAUAAUUAAACUUGCCCUUUCUCUAAACCACAAGAGACCUGUUGAAUUGAUUCUAAGUUUCCCUCUCGUUGAUGGAGCAAAACGGCAUGCAGAAGUCUGCGGGGCCCCAUAUUUAAUGAUAAAUUAUACAAUUUAUGUUGGAAGCAAAAGGAUAAAUAGAGAUUUCGGUUGUUGCAUUAAUUCGUUGUCUGAAGCUGGGAAGGCCUUAUCCACGCUUAAUCCGAAAGUAUUUCUCUCCCCUUCGAGCAAUAGAAAAGCAGCUGUGUAUAUCGAAAUGCGCGUGUUACGUUCAGGAGCGUGUGCCCGAGGCCCGGUGCGGCUACCGGGACCCGCUCCCGCACAUCCGCAGCGCUGCGGGAGCCACCGCGGCAAAUGUGUGCAGCGUGGAGAGCGCCGGCAAUGCCUGGGGACACGGCCCUCCCCACCGCGGUCUGCUCCCCUGCGCUCAGGACAGGAGGGCACAUGCACACCUGUACGCCCAGAAUACAUUAAACCCAUUAAAUACACACAAUCAAGAUAAAUGAGGUGUCUUCCUCGGGUUUUCUUUUCUUAAAAUAAACACUGUCACGUCUGCUUAUUCA